This 208-nucleotide unclassified non-coding RNA is filed under the name Hevea brasiliensis (rubber tree). Lineage: Eukaryota; Viridiplantae; Streptophyta; Magnoliopsida; Malpighiales; Euphorbiaceae. The record is from RNAcentral.
GAAAACAAUUAUAUUUGGUGUGGAGGAGCAAGCUUCACUUUUAGGUCUCAAAUCUAUAGAUGUCAUUUAUGAAGGGAAAAUGGUGAUAGGAUGCAUAUAUGGUGGACUUAAACCCAAAUCAGACAUUCCCACACUCCUUCAAUGGUACAUAGAUAAGAAACUACAAUUGGAUUCAUUUAUCUCACAUGAAGUUGGGUUUGAAGAUAUC